Long non-coding RNA from Neofelis nebulosa (Clouded leopard), 10345 nucleotides. RefSeq lists it as uncharacterized. The record is from RefSeq and is a predicted model, not a curated record. NCBI's taxonomy places the organism in Eukaryota, Metazoa, Chordata, Mammalia, Carnivora, Felidae. The transcript is spliced from 2 exons.
AUAUGGUCUGGGCAUAUGGGGACAUGUCCAGUGUUUUGUUUGAAUAUGUAUGCCAGAUAGAGAAGUAAGGAUCCAUUGACUGCUCAAUGAGGAAAUUGAACUUAAUUAGCAUUUCCAUGCUCUCUUCAUUUUGUCCCUGUCACAUACUUGUCAUUUGGCUUUGCUUUGUAGGGGAUUACAACAAAUUUAUUUAUUUAUUUUUUUUUUAAGAUCCCUAAUUCUCCCUUGAGUAAACCAACUAAUACAAAACAGGAUACAGUGAGCAUACGUAAACGAAUUAAUAAUAUGCACUCCAGACACCUGUGUUGUUAGCUCAAUCGGUUGAGCAUUCGACUCUUGAUCUCCACUCAGGUCAUGACCUCAUGGUUCAUGGGAUUGAGCCCUGUGUGAUGCUCUUUGCUGACCGCUUAAACUUAAAAAAAAAAUCCUCUCCUUGAAGGACAUUUUAAGAAUUUGUGUUAGGAGGUAAAAGGUGUUGAAGACUUGCAGACUGGGCAUGGUGGUAACACCUUUCUAAAAGACAAGGAGGUUGGAAUAAUGGUUGGAGAGUGUGUGGGUGUGUGCGUGCACGUGCAUGGGCACAUACCUUUAGAAAAGCAAUAUUAUUUUGUUGGAGCAUGCUGAGAAAUAAAAUAGGAAUAUAUGUGGAUAGGCAUAGGUUAUGGAAGGUUAUGAAUGAUUUAGACCUGCUGAUACAGGAAUUAGUUCUUGGAAUGAUAUAAUACACAAAAGAUAUCAGUAUCAUACUAGCAACAGUUUUCAUUAACAUUAAAAAAAUAUUAGUUUUAUUUGGUUUCCUGCUUUUAAAAUUAGGUAUCAUAUGGAAGUGUAUGGUGUAUGCUGAUACAUUGGGCUUGAUCUAGUAUAAAUUUUUCUUUGGUGUUUUUCAUCUUAGGAUUUCAGUAUUCCAAUGAUUAGUAUAAUGUUAUUAAUAUAUAAGAAAAUUAAUUAAAUUUCUGCUUUGGGAGUAAAAGUAAUAGCUUUAUUGAUUUGGGAAUAGCUUUUUUUUCACACAUGAAAAACUUUUGAACUGAGUUGAUGAGUCAUGCUAAGGCAGUUGGGUAAAGGAUUAUCAAGUCAGCCAGUAAACACCUGUGUAAAGAUCUGAGUGUGUAUAUUUUUUCUGUUUGAGAAAUAUAUGGGCUGCGGUAAGCUAGUCAUUAAUAGGCCAAAAAGAAUUAAGAAUGGAAACAUAGUUUGGGCCUACAUUGUUAAAAGUGUUUGAAUGCCAUAUUAAAAUUGUGUGAGUAUUCUUUGUGCAUCAUCAGUAUGGCUAUUUCAUUUGUCCUUUGUGAUUUCUUCAUAUUUUUAUGUCUAUUUAUGUUUGAACACAUGUUUUGAAAACCAUGAUUAUUUUCAUAUUUUGGAAAUACUAAAAUACAAAAGAUGGCAGUUGAGAGAUCUGGGCAUCUCUUUGCUCCUAAAAAUGUGAUCAUUGGUUGGGUGACUUCAAGGGACAGAGAGAGACCUAAUGAGUUUAUUUGAAGCAGCUGCCCUUUACUCUCUUAAAAAAAAUACUCAUGCCCAACUAUACCUGUAGGGAUUCUUAUACAUAUGGUCUAGAUAGAUGCUUGAGUGUUGGUGUAUUUUUCUUAAUGCUUCUCAAGAGAUUUUGAUGUCAAAGGGUUGAGAAUCCUUGAUUAAAGAAUGAGGAAGUAGUUUUGUUUCUUUGAUUCUUACCCUAUUUCUUUGUCUAUGAAUCUCUUUAGAAAAAUUCUAAUACAUUUAUAUAUGUAUGUAUAAUUUCUGGGGUAUCCUGGACUCUGGCACAAAAAACUCCUGUUGUAAAUUUAGUAUAUAGAGAAUUAACGUGUACAAUCCUAACUUCAUGACAGUAGUCCUCUAAAGUUUUACUUUUAGUUGUCUUGGUGAGGCAGCAAAACAUUGACCAUUUCUAUCAUGCCACUGUAAGUAUGUUUGGAAAAGAUUUUUUUGAGUGAGGAAUUUUGGAUGAGUUAAGGUAUCAACAGCAAGGAAUAGUAAGGAAAUUUAGAUGUUUGCAGAAAUACCUUCAAAUUUCUUGCCACUGCUCUUUGAUCCUAAAAAUUAGUGGCGGUGCCACUGUUGACCUCAUUCUUCAGUUUUUCAAGAGGCAAGAGAAUACCUUUAAUUACUCUGGUGUAUUUGCUUGGUAUUAAUAGAGUGUCAGUGAAAAGUAAUAUUUUCUUCCAUUCUAAUCUCAGCCAAUGGAAAAAGCCUUAUGAUGACUGAUGGAGCAGCCAGGUAGUAGCUGGUAAAGAGCGGAUUCAAGUAUAGUACUGAGGUCUAUAAUGAAAAAAUAAAUUUAAUCAGGCAUAGAGAAACUAGUCAGGAAAAUUGCAUUAGAAAAUCUCACUGAGGGGGCGCCUGGGUGGCUCAGUUGAUUAAGCGUCCGACUUCUAUUCAGGUUAUGAUCUUGCAGACCAUGAGUUUGGGCCCCAUGUCAAGCUGCGUUUUGACAGCUCAGAACCUAGAGCCUGCUUCAGAUUCUCCCUCUCUCUCAAAACUUAAAAUAAGGAUUAAAAAAAAUUUUUUUUUAAAUCACACUGAGAAGUCAUUCUGAAGAUACUUAUUUGGAAAGUUAAGAUUUGUAUUAAUUGUCAUAACAACAUAGUGGUCCUAAAUCAACUAUGUUGGAUUCUUUAUUGAAAUAGGUUAUUGAUAAUGGCUCUGAGAUGAGCUGAAAGCUCUGAAUCUUCCUAUGUAAAUGGGUUAAAUCAGUGUUUAUUUAAAUCUUUUAGUCAUACCUUUAAGAACAUAAGAUUCACACAAAUAUUUCAAGACCUAAAAUUGGCAUUUCUUAAUUAUCUAGCUUUCUGGGAUCUUGAGUUCUACUUAUUUUUAUGGUAGAGAGGUAGCUGAUCUGGAGCCUAUAAAAAAAGAACAAUUGAAGAAUCCAAAGACCUAAUAUUUAGCAAAGAAAUUUUUGACUGAAGUCCUAUGUAAUCUCAAGUUUCUUAUCCCUAAUAUGGAAAUAAUCUUACUAAUAGAGUUGCUAUGAAGACUAAUGGAAACAUGAAAGACUAGAAAUUGCAUUAUAAAUGUGAUGAUUCGCAAAUAUCAUAACUGUUUACAACCAAUCAAUAGAAUUCCCAGUCUUUAGAGCAUGAGGAUUCAUUCCUGUUAAUUAUCAAGAUCUUCACAUUUCUUAUAUGCAAAGUUGCUGCAAGUUACACUUCUGGAUUAUCAGAACGAAGGGAAUUGUGGAUACCCCUCCAAUCCUCUUCCCCAGAAAACUAACAUCUCUAGCAUACUCCAGUUCUCUUCAGGUGUGACAACCGUCUUCUCAACUUUAAUGCAUAUUGAAAUGCUUAGUAUUUUCUAGUGUUUUCUGGACCUCUUUUUAAUGGUUAAAAGAUUGCUUUUAUAAACGUAAUCACACCACCAUACUUAUAAUAAUAUUAAUCUCAUCAGUUUUUCAUAGAUCUCAUUUUGUGGGUUAUACUUUGUGUUAAGCAUGUUUCAGUCCCGCCUGUAUUUGUGAAUUGGUGGAUAGAUCUGCAGGCUUGAUCAGAUUUCAGGUUCUAUCUUCUUUUUGUUUCUCACCCCCCGUUCCCCGCCACCCCCCCCCCACAUGAGGGAGUAUGUUGGGAGUAGUGGGGAAGGAGCCCAGAAUAGAGGUAUUAUGCACUUUAAUCAUUAACCUGAUUUGGCAGAAAUUUUAAGAAUACAGGAGGCAUUGGGUGUUUUAUAAGAAGAAACACUUUAGAUAUCAGGAAAUAGGUAAUUAACACUUUUGUUAGAAUUAGAGUCACUUGGUUUUUAUUGUUUUGAGAGCCCUCUCCUACCUGUGUUGUAUUUUGUUUGGGGAUGUGUGAUCAAGACCCAAGGAUUGUAAAAUACUCUUUAUCUUUAAAACUGGAGGGCAAUCAAACUUUAAAACUUAAACCAAGUUACUUAUAUUAGUAUUUUGUCUCCUGAGGGAGACAACAGGAUCAAAUUCUAUAGCCUUAAUGCUGCCACCUGCACUGCAGUAAUAUUACUGAUUUUAAUUCAGGGUGUGGGUGGAAAAAUGCAAAACUGUUACCUGUGAUCAUUUUUUUUUUUUUAACAUUUAUUUUUGAGAGACAAAGCACCAACGGGGGAGGGGCAGAGAGGGAGACACAGGCUUCAGGCACCGAGCUGUCAGCACAGAGCCCGAUGUGGGGCUUGAACUCACGGACUGCGAGAUCAUGCCCUGAGCUGAAGUCGGACGCUGAACCGACUGAGCCACCCAGGCACCCCUACCUGUGAUCAUUAAAGCUUACUGUAGUGUGAAUGAAUUCUUAGUACAUUUUUUGCUGUUGGCAUAACAGGAAUGCUGCUGUUCUUCCAACGUUAACUACAUGUAUUUUGUUAAUAUUUUAGCAUUUUUACAGUUAUCAGAUUUUGCAUCUUUUUUUUUUUUUUUUUUUUUUUUUGAGAGAGAGUGAGAGCACAAGUCGGGGAAAUCAAGAGUUGGAUGGUUUACUGAAGUGAGCCACUCAGGCACCCCCAGAUUUUUCAUCAUUAAGAUGAAAUUAUUAUUAUUAUUAUUAUUAUUAUUAUGUUUUUUUUUCCCAAAAGUUACCUCUUUCAUUAGGUAGGUCUGAAUAUUUGGUCUGUCUUUUGUUCUUAAGACCAUUCCUAAUUUUAUAGGUUUUGGAAGUUUGGGGAUGAGUUUUUAACAUAAAAUUACUGAUAUAUGUGGAACUACCAUUUUAGAUAGAUGUAUUAAUGUUUGACAGACACUGUCAACUGUUUCAUGUAUGCUGUAAACUCUAUUAUACAUAGUUUAGAAUUACCUAGAAAUUCAUUAACCAACACAUUUUUCUGGUAGGAUAGAAGCCCAAAAGUAGCUUUUUGUUUUAGGAUGACUAUUCGUGGGCUUCUAUGUAUAAAACAAAGGGAAUUACAUAAGUCUCGCCUGUGUGCAGAACAUACUAUUUGUUGAUUUUGAAAGCCUGGAAACCUGGGGGUGCCUGGGUGACUCAGUUGAGUAAGCUUCUGACUUCAGGUCAUGAUCACACAGUCUAUGAGUUCAAGCCCCACUCGGAGCCUGGACCCUGCUUCGGAUUCUGUGUCUCUCUCCCUCCCUCUCUGCCCUUCCCCCCGUUGCAUUUUGUCUCAAAAAAAAAAAAAAUCAACAUUAAAAAAAAAGUUUUUUUAAUCCUGAGAACCUGUAAGAUUCUAGCAGAGAUCCAGUAUUUGUUGUGUCCUGUUGAGAAUCAUGUUGCUUCUAGGAAAAUUGUUGCUAAAGGACUCCUUAUGUGAGCAGUUGCUUUGAAAUACUUAGAAGUGAUUUUUCAAAUUCCUUAAGUUUUAUUUAUUUACAUAAUCUCUACACCCAACAUGGGGCUCGAACUCACAACUCUAGGAUCAAGAGUUGCAUGCUCUUCCGACUGAGCCAGCCAGAUGCCCUGCUUUUUAGUUUCUUAAAAUUUAUUUUUAAUUUUAAGGUUUACAUUUGUGUCACAAAGAUUUAGUGUUUCCUUAAGUAUAAAACUGUAUCCAUUUUUUGAAAAAUUCUGGAAUUCUUUAGAUUUUCAUCAGUUGUAGUCCCACUUUUCUUUCCCUUACAAGAUCCCUGAUGAAAUUAUUCUGGAAUUACAUAGUGGUAAUGAUUGCAGAAGUUUGUGUGUGGAGGGUGUUUUUUCUAUGGUAUGUGAAUCAUAUGUUAAUAUAAAUUGGAAAAAAAAUUACUCCAUUAUGGACAGCCAAGUAAUUCUUUCUCAGUCAUUUCUUCUAUAGAAACUUGGGAGCACAGAAAGCAAUAAGGGUUUAUUAGGUUUGACAAUAGGCUACAGUAUAAAAGUGAAGACACAAUAAACCUAGUAGCAAAAGAUAUGGUAAUAAGUAACUUAUCACACAUUAUGUAUGGGCUAUGAAUAAUAAUGUAAAUAGUGUAUAAGUGACUGGACUGUAAAAGUUCUUACAUGAGAGCUUUUUCAGAGUGCUAAUACUGCUUCAUAUCUAAAUAUAUUAAGUAAAUAUGCCAUCGCACCAUGAAUAGAAAGAGGAAUGGAGUACAUCAACUCACAUCAAAUACAACACAUGGAUGACAAGCAGUAUGUUAUCCAAUGAAGAAGCUAUUGUAGGAAGCACAAUAUUAUACAGUGAAGACAGUGAUGUGGAAUUAAUAUUGGCUGCUAUGUGUCCUGCAUUUGUAUAGGAUUGUGCCAUAGAAAGACGAGUUGUGUUUCCGAGUUGUGUUUCCCGUUGUGGAGCUCUGAGCUCUCUUCACAUUUAAAGAUCCCCAGGUAGUUUCACAAAGUGCUAUUUUUGAACUUACCUUUGAUACUAAGUAUCAAAGGUUUUGAGGCAGAUAGAGUAAAGGUACAGUGGUAAAUAUCCCUGGUUGUAUUUGGAGAAAUAGCCUGGUAUAAUGGGAAAGAGUGGUUGUUGUAAAAGCCUUUUAUGGUCUAUUAGGGAGUUGUGUCUUGCAGGUAGAGAGGUCUUAGAAACUGCUUCAUGGAUAGAAAAGAGAAAGUGGAGGGAAAAAAAAGAUGUAUUAAGUAGUUAACAUUGUAAAUGUUGGAAUGGAGAAGGAUGUACAGGAAUUUCUGGGGUAGACUGGUCUUGGUAUAAUUUAUUGAGUUUAAAGUUAAAUGUUUUGUAGGGAGAAAAAAUGAUGUAUAGCAGAGAUCUUUUAUGACUACAGUUAUACCAUUAAAGGUUACAUGAAAGGGAUGUUGGAGGGUUUGAGUUGUUUGAAUUUUGGGGAACAAUUUUACUGUUAAUACUUAUGUUAGAGCUCUUUUUUAGGAACGUAUCCUGGUAGACUGUAGAACAGCAUUUGAGGUGAAGUACAGUUGUUAGGGGAGUUUCCUUUGAAAUGCAAGACCGGUGAAAGCAGCUAACAAUCAUAUUAAACUAAUAUUUGCCCCUUUUUUGUUCUAAGCACCCAGUUUUAGGUUUUGGUUAGUAAGUUAAAAGAAAUACUGACUACAGGAGCACCCAGAUGGCUCAGUAGGUUAAGCGGCAACUCCGCUCAAGUCAUUAUCUCCUGGUCUAUGGGUACAAGCCCAGAUUGGGCCCUGUGCUGACAGCUCAGCCUGGAGCCUGCUUCAGAUUCUGUGCCUUUGUCCCUCUCUGCACCUCCUCUGCUGCUGCUCUGGGGUCUCUGUCUCUCUCAAAAAUAAAUCAACAUUUAAAAAAAAGAAAUACUACAAAUUAAAGGAUACUUCCACCCCCCAUGUUCUUGGUAUUAGUGGGGCUGUCAUCCUGCCUCCCUCCCUUCCAUUUUUCUGAUAUUCCUGAGUAACACUAGACCUGAAGGAAGAACUCCUGAAAUAUUUUAGGUUUUGAAGAACUGAUUUAGACCAUCUGCUUGGAAAGGCAUGUGAUUGAGAGAUAAGAGGGUUCUUAGCUACUUGGAAAAGCUAAGGGACACCUCUGUAGAUGUGAUUUUAAGCAUAAGGUGAAAUUUUGCAUUUGCUAAGAGCCCUUCUGUUGGUUUUAUCUUUUGCAUGGAAACCUCAUUGCCAGGAAGAUUUUAGUUGAGGACAUCAAUUAGUACAAGUAUACUCUCAACAUAAACCUGCUAUUACUGACUUAAAAUUUUGACAGUAUAUUCUUUAUUUCACUUCACUUUCAUUUCGGGUUGUUGAUGUUUAUUGUGUCUUGGACUCUUACUAACUAGGUGGGAGGUAUUUCUUUUGCAGGGGAAGCAUUUGACUUGGUCAGAGAAUCUGCUAUAUGGCUCUGAAUUAAGUGGUGUUCUGGUUAUGACCUCUAAUGCAAAAUUAGCCACUGCUGUUUUAGGAUUCUACUUCAUGAUAUUCUUAAUCCAGGUAGAUUUUGUCAAGCUCCUUGACAUCAGUUUUUUUUUCUUUUUUAAAAUGUGGCUUUAUUGAGACAGAUGUAUAAUAUAUAACAUUAUAAAAUUCAUUUUAACGUGUAUAAUUCAAUUUAGUAUAUUUAGAGUUGUGCAGUCACGAUCAUGAUUUAAUUUUAGAACAUUGCAUCACCCCAAAAAUAAGCACCUUACUUAUUAUCAGUCAUAUCUAUUCUAUCCCUAGGCCUGCCAACUACUAAUCCAUUUUCUAUCUAUAGAUUUGCCUAUUCUGCACAUUUCAUAUCAAUAGAUUCAUAUAAUAUUUGUCUUUUAUGGCUGGUUUCUUAUACUUUAUACUUCAUAAUUCAUCUAUAUUUUACCAUUUGUUAGUACAUCAUUCCUUUUUAUAUUCCAUUUUUAUGGGUGAUAACCACAUUUGGUUUACCCAUUCAUCAGUUGCUGAAUAAUUUGAUAUGUUUCUACAUUUUGAAUAAUGCUUUUGUGGACAUUUGUAUGUACAUUUUUGCAUAGACAUGUGUUUUCAUCUGUCUUGGGUAUAUACUAAGAGUAGAAUUGCUGGCUGUGAUGGUAUUUCAUUUUUAACCUUUUGAGGAACCUGCCAUACUAUCUUUUCAAAGCAGCUGUACCAUUUUGCAUUCCUGUCAGCCAUGUAUAAAGGUUGCACUUUUCACAUCCUUGCCAACACUUACUUUAUUACCUGUCCUUGUUAUUUAACUAUAGUAGUUCAAGUUUGAAUAAUGUUAUCCCGUUGUGGUUUUGAUUUGCAUUUUCUUAAAAAACUAAUGACGUUGAGGGGCACCUGGCUGGCUUGGUCAAAAGAAAGAGCACACGACUAUUGAUCUCAGGUUGUGAGUCCAUGCCUCACAUUAGAUGUAGUGUUUACUAAAAAAAAAAAUAAAAAAUUAUGGUGAGUAAUCAUGGGCUUAUUGGAUAUCUAUUUUUAGAAAAAUGUAUUCAGAUCUUUUGCUUAUUUUUAUAUUGAGUUUACUGAGUUGUAAGGCUUCGUAUAUUAAAGAUACAAGUCUUGAUACAACAUCCAAUACUGACAUUUUUGAUAUUUAUUACUUUUUUUAUAGUUUCACGAUUCUGCUUUGUGAUCACAGGAGAUGUGUUAACUACGGUUUUAUACAAAGAACCUUUAGGUUUAUUUAGUUUGAGAUAGAGCAGGAGAGGGACAGGAAGAGAGGGAGGUGUAGAGUAUCCCAAACAGUCCCUGUGCUGUCAGCGCAGAGCCCAACACAGGGCUCGAUCUCAAAAACGGUGAGAUCGUGACCUGAGCUGAAAUCAAGAGUCACUCUGGUACCCCACAAAUGAAUUUUGAGCAGUGUUUCAAUAUGAGAAUUGUAAUGACUGAGGACUGCUCUUCAGGCAGGAAGUUAGAGAACCCAGACUGCAGUUUUGAAAUAAAGCUACAAGGAAUUUGAAGGAAUAUCCCGGAAAUCAGUCUUUCAGGGAAAGAAAGAGAGGGUACCCGUUGAUACAUAGGAUAAGAUGAUAAUUUAAUCUCCUCUUAAAGACUGUAAUCCCAGGAAAAAGAGGAAAAGGUCCACCAAAUAUAGUUUGACUUAAUCAGGCAGAUCAACUUUUUUCCCAGGACUUUAUUACUUUAUAGUAAUAAAUGUGUUACUAUUGUGAGAUUGAUGGGGCUUAAGAAGGGAAAUAGGUUAAUAUUGUAAAAAACAUAUAUAAUUGCAAGACAAAGUUACCACUGGAAUUUUUUUGCGGGUGAAUUCCUUAACAGCAGGUAUGACCUGAUGGUCUCAUCACAUCCCAUUAUAGGCACAGGAUCUGAUAUUUAUUUUGGGGUAGAUUAUUUAGCUUUUCCAAUAGUUUUCAUACAGCUGGGGGAAAAGCAGAUUAGUGCUUUUGGCUUUCCAGCUAUAAAGAUAGGUUUGAUUUGUUACGUGCUGAUAGUGUGAUUUGUGACAAAUCUUUCCUAGAGUCUAGUUUAGGAGAGGCAUUGUUGUGUUCACCAGGGAUACUAUAGUGGAAAAUAAAUCGUCUCAGAGAAGGUAGGUUGAACACAUAAAAGCAUGUUAAGGCAUCUUUAGCUUUUAUGAAAUGAGAUGAGAAGGCAGUGGGGAGAGUUGAACUGAGGAGUGAGAGGAUCUUAUUUGUAUUGUAACAGGAUUAGUCUGAUUAUAGAUAAUAAGUGGCUGAUAGAAUUAUCUAGAUAAACAAUCAUUUGGGAAAGGACCCUGGGAGGUAGACUUGGAAAUGGUAAGUAGUAGUUGAAUUUUGAAGUUAAUAAAGACCAAUUCACUUACACAUCACUGUGAAGGCUAAGAGAGGAAUCAGAUGUCACCAAAGUUUGGCCUGCACAACUAGCGACUUGGAAUUUGCAGAAAUCGUGAUAGAAGAACAUAGUGCAAAACUAGGUUGAGGAGUGACUAUCACAGAUUGGCCAGUGACAUGUUUAUUAGACAUGUUUAUUAUUGAGAGAUGUUAUAUAGGCAGUUGUUUAUGUGGAGACAUAGUAGUUGUCUGCUCGUAGGUCACAAAACCACAAUACUGGGUGAGUAGAGACAGAAAAUAGAGAUCAUUAGAGCACUGCAACUAUUAAAAACUAGGGAGAUGAGGAGUGAGUACAAGUGAUUGAAAAAUGCCAUA